UGUAAAAGACGUGAACCAGCAGGAGU
Molecule: non-coding RNA, 26 nt
Filed under: Homo sapiens (human)
Lineage: Eukaryota; Metazoa; Chordata; Mammalia; Primates; Hominidae
Source: RNAcentral